Pteronotus mesoamericanus is the source of this 534-nucleotide long non-coding RNA. RefSeq lists it as uncharacterized. NCBI's taxonomy places the organism in Eukaryota, Metazoa, Chordata, Mammalia, Chiroptera, Mormoopidae. The transcript is spliced from 3 exons. The record is from RefSeq and is a predicted model, not a curated record.
GGCCCCGCCGCCGCUGCUGACCGCGCUUCCGUCCGUUUCCCGGCGGCGGGCGGGCCUCGCUCUACGCCCGGACCCGGGAGCCGGGCCAGCGCCGUGUGCUCCGCGCCGCCUGCAGCGGGGAACAUUACCUCCUGCUGCGUGUCGUCCAGCCCUAAGCUCCGGAGGAAUGCACACUCCCGGCUGGAAUCCUACCGGCCCGACGCCGACCUGAGCCGCGAGGACACGGGCUGCAACCUGCAGCACAUCAAGUGACCGGGAGAACGUCGACGACAAAUGACCAUGGAAAUAAUUAAAUGUCAGCAGGAUGGAAGCGUAACAGACUCUGUAGCAGAGAGAGCACCUGCACACAUGCAGUCCCAGACUGGUCAAAACCCAGUCCCUACUUGAGCUCAGGUUUCUGUAGCUGGAUCAGGCACCGGAAGAGGCUCCCCCGCUCUGACUCUAGUGCAGUUACCUUCGGGCCAGACUGUCCACGUCCAGGGAGUAAUUCAGACACCACAGUCAUCCGUUAUCCAGUCACCACACAUACAAACU